This 2484-nucleotide long non-coding RNA is filed under the name Toxoplasma gondii VEG. The record is from RNAcentral. Lineage: Eukaryota; Apicomplexa; Conoidasida; Eucoccidiorida; Sarcocystidae.
AUAGUUUCUGGACGUUUUUGACUGCGCUUCAUUUGUUGUGUAGGGGCCACAGCAGAUCGAAUUUUUGUUGCGUGAAAGUGUGGGUUUCCGCUAGCACUGGGACUGUGGUGACCUCGCAUUGCACUUGGCUGUGGCUGUCGGUGCGUUGCCGUCCGACAUUGGGGGACUGUAUCUGCAGGCUGAGGCGCUUAGGCGCAUGUAGUGGGUGGGGAUCGGCAGCACCCGCUAGCGUGAGGAAGAGGUCUGGGUGCAGAUUUUUUGGGAAAACACUCGGAUAAGAAGACAUCAGAAGGAAGAUGACACGGAUCCCUAUGGAACAUGGUUCGCUGGCACUCAGGGCCGUUUGUAUUUCCUACGUUAGGGACACUUGCCUGGUGGAGGUCGGUCUGUCAUGGACCUGAGGGAGAUGUUUCUGCUGUUUUUUGUGUGUAGGAUCAAUAACCGCAUAGAGGUGAGCGCGUGUGGCAGGUAAUGGAUACUGUUCACGGAAGACCAGGGUGAUGGGGGGCUCCCUCCUCUGAAGGGUGAACCCACAUGUGCCUACCGGGGUGGAGGCCAGCUACCACAGCCCAACGUGGCACGAGAUGUAGAUGGUGAACGGCGAAGGUGUGCUAGCAUCUUCCAGUUCGCGACAUUUCUACACCUGUCCCUGGGGCUGAUGUCGUGGUUUGCACUGCGACGAUCACCUAGCGGGGCAAGCUACUGUACAUAUAUCACCAAUUUCAGCGCAUUCGUAAGAUGAAUAUGCCUCAGAGGAGGCUACCGAGUGGAAUGGCACAUGACCAUCUUGGUUUUUGGUAUUGGGCGGACGUGCCACAGACAUCGAUUACUUCUAUAUUUUCCUACAGGUUCUGUAGGUGGAAGUGCGUAAUAAUUGGGCUCGGUGUUCCUCGCUACCAAUUGACCGAAGCUGGACACCCGUUGAAAGGCACGGGUGCAUUAGUGUGACAAUCGGCAACUUAUUUCCGGCGGCUGGCCACUCGGCAGUGUACCCCAUGGACGCGCAUUGCGUUUCUUCACGGUCGGCCUUACGGCGCGUCCGACAUUUUUUUCUCUGUGCUGCAACAUAGAUUUUGUGUUGAUAGGAUUCAGUGUCGCCUUCUCCAGCAUGAAUAUUGUCAACCGCGUUCAUUGCGGCUCACCUACGAGGUCACGAAAAUGAUGAUCGGCAGGGAUGGCGUCUUAGUGGGUUAAUUGCAGAGGUUCUAUUUUCGGUUGGAAGGUUGCUUAUUAAAUUGCCCAUUUCUUCAAGACUGCGAAUUCUCGGGUGUCGGUUUAAAAGAUAAUAGUGUCAGUUAACUUUAGGCUGUGUUACUUCCCUCUGUUUCAGCAGCUGCGGUAAUACGGGGGGUUCAGGCGUUUUUUAAGAAGGUGCUCGUGGGUUUCUAGCUCGUUGGCGGGGCCAUUAGCAUGGGGGGCAUGGCAGCUUUGCAACGGGCCUUGUUUGGACAGUGCUCCUGCUACAUGUGGAAAGAACUCUCAACAGAAGCUCGUGGAGCACGGGCCGAUGUGUGGUUACCGGGAGACCGCACAGCUGUUCGUUUUCUUUUUAGAGUCAAGCAGUGCCUAUAUCUUGCCAGGGGCUGCAGCACACAGCGGCAUAACAGCAUGGUACCUCAGUAUACAGGCUUAUGCCACUUUGGGGCGAUAGGCCUCCUGACAAAGGUUUUUGAUCGACAUCGCGCCGGGGGCUCACCACCGGCAACGCUUUGCUCUGGAAGCCGCAGCAACGCCUUCGUGGUGGCAAUUGCUAGAUUCUGCACGAGUCCAGACUAGUGUUGUUCUGCGUUUUUGCUUCUGCCACCGUUGUGCUCCUUCCGUGUUGUAUGCAUGUCCCCUCUCGAUUGCAGAACGCACGCUGCCUCGGGUAUCGCCGACGAUGUCAAGUUCCGCAUUUCCAGACGAGCAGAACCGGUUGAUUGCGGCGCGCAUGGCCGAAGGAAUCGACGUGCUCCAUUUUACUCUCGCGUUUGCCGUACGGAAUGGGGGGCCAACAGGUUGUUUGCGUCUUCGUGCACGACGCAGGGGUACGGGCGGUACUCGCUUUUAUCUCCUGGCAUCUUUACGUAGCAUACUAAUUGGUUUUAGGCUGCGAGCGGUGUUCCCUUAUCCACUAGUGAAUACAUCUGUGCCAUGUGCCACUGAUAAACAGCCGCCGUUUCGUUUCUGUGUCCGCCUUAGCGGCUCAAUAGAAUUUUUAUCUAUUUUUGAGGAGGACGUGUAAAACGUACCCACGUUGGUGCCUGGACCCUAAAUCGUUAUUCAUGAGAGUCGUAGAGUUCACGACCAUGUAUUUUUCGUAUGUGAUGUGUUACGACACCGAAUGUGCAACGGUGUGUUUCAUUGGCGGACAUGGUGGCAAGACUAAGAGCUCUGGAUUAUCUAUUUGCGUAUAACUUGCCAGUGCUGACCUUAAGCGUGUUGCUUGCGUCCCUCCCUGGUAUGUGUGUGCCUCUGCACACAAUAAUCCGACGGAUUUGUUCU